Molecule: ribosomal RNA, 252 nt
Filed under: uncultured bacterium
Lineage: Bacteria
Description: partial 16S ribosomal RNA
Rfam family: Bacterial small subunit ribosomal RNA
Source: RNAcentral
UACGUAGGUGGCAAGCGUUGUCCGGAUUUAUUGGGCGUAAAGCGCGUGCAGGCGGCUAUGUAAGUCUGAUGUUAAAGCCCGAGGCUCAACCUCGGUUCGCAUUGGAAACUGUGUAGCUUGAGUGCAGAAGAGGAAAGCGGUAUUCCACGUGUAGCGGUGAAAUGCGUAGAUAUUGGGAGGAAUACCAGUGGCGAAGGCGGCUCCCUGGACCGGUACUGACGCUGAGGCGCGAAAGCGUGGGUAGCAAACAGG